GCCGCUGUAGUGAUAAUGGUUAGCAUGGGGGCCUGUGGAGCCCCUGGUCCGAGUUCAAAUCUCGGCAGCGGCC
Molecule: transfer RNA, 73 nt
Filed under: Candidatus Aenigmatarchaeota archaeon
Lineage: Archaea; Nanobdellati; Candidatus Aenigmatarchaeota
Description: tRNA-His
Rfam family: tRNA
About the family: Transfer RNA (tRNA) molecules are approximately 80 nucleotides in length.
Source: RNAcentral